AAUUUGGGGGCGGAGUAGGGCCGAACUGGGUUGAGUAAUACAUCGGAACGUGCCCUGUAGUGGGGGAUAACUAGUCGAAAGAUUAGCUAAUACCGCAUACGACCUGAGGGUGAAAGUGGGGGACCGCAAGGCCUCAUGCUAUAGGAGCGGCCGAUGUCUGAUUAGCUAGUUGGUGGGGUAAAGGCCCACCAAGGCGACGAUCAGUAGCUGGUCUGAGAGGACGAUCAGCCACACUGGGACUGAGAGACGGGCCCA
RNAcentral lists this ribosomal RNA (255 nucleotides) under uncultured bacterium. Its description in RNAcentral is "partial 16S ribosomal RNA". The stretch from base 29 to 255 matches the Rfam family "Bacterial small subunit ribosomal RNA", at positions 104 to 333 of the family's 1533-position model. The record is from RNAcentral.